GACGAACGCUGGCGGCGUGCUUAACACAUGCAAGUCGAACGGAAAGGCCCUGCUUGUGUGGGGUGCUCGAGUGGCGAACGGGUGAGUAACACGUGAGUAACCUGCCCUUGACUUUGGGAUAACUUCAGGAAACUGGGGCUAAUACCGUAUAGGAGCUCCUGCUGCAUGGUGGGGGGUGGAAAGUUUCGGCUGUUGGGGAUGGACUCGCGGCUGAUCAGUUUGUUGGUGGGGUAGUGGCUUACCAAGGCUUUGACGGGUAGGCGGCCUGAGAGGGUGAACGGCCACAUUGGGACUGAGAUACGGCCCAGUAUCCUACGGGGGGCAGCAGUGGGGAAUAUUGCACAAUGGGACGAAGCCUGAUGCAGCAACGCUGCGUGCGGGAUGACGGCCUUCUGGUUGUAAAAAGCUUUCGCCUGUGACGAAGCGUGAGUGACGGUAAUGAGUAAAGAAGCACCGGCUAACUACGUG
RNAcentral lists this ribosomal RNA (468 nucleotides) under uncultured bacterium. Its description in RNAcentral is "partial 16S ribosomal RNA". It matches the Rfam family "Bacterial small subunit ribosomal RNA", at positions 28 to 507 of the family's 1533-position model. The record is from RNAcentral.